CUCAAAAUGGCGAGGAUGGAGCCCCGAUCACGUGACUCGCUGCAGGUCAUGUGACUGUGGAAAGUGACAUCAGCCAGAAACACCUGCCACCGUUUGAAGAUGACUUUAAGUGUGACAUCACAUUGCAUAGGUCCAGGCCACGGGGUUUGAUUGACAGCCCUGCAUUGCUAUAGUUUCCACCCUCAGCGGUUGUAAGCUGUCCAUUUUCUCCGCGCUCGAGCAGCUGUAACAUCAACAAUGUCUCACAAGCAAUCCCGGGGCUCUGUGUUUGGAUGUACGACUGAACAUAAGAGUCUUCAUUUUCUCCCAACAUCUGAGCUACUGAGGACGCUGUGGAUUACUUUCAUUUUUCAAGGGCACACAGAAUAAGAUUUGGUCUCCAGACUCUCCCGGCCCCGGUGAUGCACGGUUCCAGAAUGGACACAGCUGAGGCUGCGAGUGUGAUUGAGAGGGAAACAGCGAUUAGGGUUCCCAUAACCUCCUUAUUAUCCUCUCUGCCCAAACAGAGCUCUGAGACUGAUGUACUAUGUGAGGAUGACAUGAUUAUAAGACAACAAUCUGUUUCAUUUCUCUUAAUAUUUCAACAACACCAGUCCGAAGGCAAGAGAUUUUGUGUUGUGAUUUUGUCCUUUUCAUAAUGUAGUCAAGGUGAUGGACAGUUUAUUCUUAUUGGUGCACUACUCUUACAAAUAAAGUGCCGUGGUAUUACCAUAUAAG
This is a long non-coding RNA of Onychostoma macrolepis, 717 nucleotides long. RefSeq lists it as uncharacterized. NCBI's taxonomy places the organism in Eukaryota, Metazoa, Chordata, Actinopteri, Cypriniformes, Cyprinidae. The record is from RefSeq and is a predicted model, not a curated record. The transcript is spliced from 4 exons.